Molecule: long non-coding RNA, 590 nt
Organism: Rosa chinensis
Lineage: Eukaryota; Viridiplantae; Streptophyta; Magnoliopsida; Rosales; Rosaceae
Exons: 2
Source: RefSeq, a predicted model, not a curated record
UCCGGACUUCUCCUUUUCAGAUCUAAUUUUUCUGAGUUCUCUCUUUCUCAAUCGAUGAAGGACUCCCAGUGAUGGAUUGCAACACUCCCAAUCCAAUCUGAGGGUGGAAUGGCAUUCGUGUUCUUAGCAAGGGAGAAUUUCAUUAUCUCGAGCUUGAAUUGGUCCUCUCACUCAUCUACGCAGAAGAUUUGUGGAGCGUUUUUACUUCUUUGUUCAAGUUAUGAAUAGAAUAACACAAAAUUCUGAACCUCUCAUCUUGGUCCUCCUCGUCAGUGAUUCCAGGGCACUGGGUUAAUGAAUUUUGAUAGGAGGCAUGGGUUUCAAGAUGCCAACUCCCCAGAUGAAUGCAGGUAAAUCAAUGGAGACUACAGCUGAGAAAGAAAACAAGGUAGAUAAGGCUGGGGAUUUGGCCCUCUUUGCUAAAGGAACAUACAGAGUCAACUAGAGAUGAUGAUGGUGAUGUCUGAUGGUGUUGAUGAUGAUGAAGAUAGGAGGAUGUGGAGGGUGUUCUUAAUUUUGCAGCUCUUUGUACUAUCAGUCACAUUUUGGACGGACCAUUUCAGAAUCAUUCAACCAAAGCUCUUUGCAGA